Molecule: ribosomal RNA, 198 nt
Filed under: uncultured bacterium
Lineage: Bacteria
Description: partial 16S ribosomal RNA
Rfam family: Bacterial small subunit ribosomal RNA
Source: RNAcentral
ACGCUCGACACCUACGGAGGCAGCAGUGGGGAAUAUUGCACAAUGGGGGAAACCCUGAUGCAGCGACGCCGCGUGAGCGAAGAAGUAUUUCGGUAUGUAAAGCUCUAUCAGCAGGGAAGAAACUGACGGUACCUGACUAAGAAGCACCGGCUAAAUACGUGCCAACAGCCGCGGUAAUCUGAGCGGGCGUGGCAAGGC